Molecule: ribosomal RNA, 2372 nt
Rfam family: Bacterial large subunit ribosomal RNA
AGUAGCAUGCUCAAGACCCGAAGCGGAGUGAUCUAGCCAUGGGCAGGUUGAAGCGCGGGUAAGACCGUGUGGAGGACCGAACCCACCAGGGUUGAAAACCUGGGGGAUGACCUGUGGUUAGGGGUGAAAGGCCAAUCAAACUCCGUGAUAGCUGGUUCUCCCCGAAAUGCAUUUAGGUGCAGCGUCGUGUGUUUCUUGCCGGAGGUAGAGCACUGGAUAGGCGAUGGGCCCUACCGGGUUACUGACCUUAGCCAAACUCCGAAUGCCGGUAAGUGAGAGCGCGGCAGUGAGACUGUGGGGGAUAAGCUCCAUGGUCGAGAGGGAAACAGCCCAGAGCAUCGACUAAGGCCCCUAAGCGUACGCUAAGUGGGAAAGGAUGUGGAGUCGCAGAGACAACCAGGAGGUUGGCUUAGAAGCAGCCAUCCUUGAAAGAGUGCGUAAUAGCUCACUGGUCAAGUGAUUCCGCGCCGACAAUGUAGCGGGGCUCAAGCGUACCGCCGAAGUCGUGUCAAUCCAGCAUGUGCCCUUAACGGGGGCUGGGUUGGGUAGGGGAGCGUCGUGUGCCGGGUGAAGCUGCGCCGGAAGGCAGUGGUGGACGGUUCACGAGUGAGAAUGCAGGCAUGAGUAGCGAUACACACGUGGGAAACGUGUGCGCCGAUUGACUAAGGGUUCCUGGGUCAAGCUGAUCUGCCCAGGGUAAGUCGGGACCUAAGGCGAGGCCGACAGGCGUAGUCGAUGGACAACCGGUUGAUAUUCCGGUACCCGCUUUGAAGCGCCAGCGCUGAACCAGGCGAUGCUAAGUCCGUGAAGCCGCCGGCUGAGUCUUCGGACGAGGUCGGAGUGGUGGAGCCGACGGUCCAGACCUGUAGUAGGUGAGUGAUGGGGUGACGCAGGAAGGUAGUCCAGCCCGGGCGGUGGUUGUCCCGGGGUAAGGGUGUAGGACGCCAGGUAGGUAAAUCCGUCUGGCAUGUAAGUCUGAGACCUGAUGCCGAGCCGAUUGUGGUGAAGUGGAUGAUCCUAUGCUGUCGAGAAAAGCCUCUAGCGAGUUUCAUGGCGGCCCGUACCCUAAACCGACUCAGGUGGUCAGGUAGAGAAUACCGAGGCGUUCGGGUGAACUAUGGUUAAGGAACUCGGCAAAAUGCCCCCGUAACUUCGGGAGAAGGGGGGCCAUUUCCGGUGAUGGCAUGUGCUGCUUGAGCUGGGGGUGGCCGCAGAGACCAGCGAGAAGCGACUGUUUACUAAAAACACAGGUCCGUGCGAAGCCGUAAGGCGAUGUAUACGGACUGACGCCUGCCCGGUGCUGGAACGUUAAGGGGACCGGUUAGUGGGGUUUCGAUCCUGCGAAGCUGAGAACUUAAGCGCCAGUAAACGGCGGUGGUAACUAUAACCAUCCUAAGGUAGCGAAAUUCCUUGUCGGGUAAGUUCCGACCUGCACGAAUGGCGUAACGACUUCUCGACUGUCUCAACCAUAGGCCCGGUGAAAUUGCACUACGAGUAAAGAUGCUCGUUUCGCGCAGCAGGACGGAAAGACCCCGGGACCUUUACUAUAGCUUGAUAUUGGUGUUCGGUUCGGCUUGUGUAGGAUAGGUGGGAGACUGUGAAGCGGCCACGCCAGUGGUUGUGGAGUCGUCGUUGAAAUACCACUCUGGUCGUGCUGGAUGUCUAACCUGGGUCCGUGAUCCGGAUCAGGGACAGUGUCUGGUGGGUAGUUUAACUGGGGCGGUUGCCUCCUAAAGGGUAACGGAGGCGCCCAAAGGUUCCCUCAGCCUGGUUGGUAAUCAGGUGUUGAGUGUAAGUGCACAAGGGAGCUUGACUGUGAGACCGACGGGUCGAGCAGGGACGAAAGUCGGGACUAGUGAUCCGGCGGUGGCUUGUGGAAGCGCCGUCGCUCAACGGAUAAAAGGUACCCCGGGGAUAACAGGCUGAUCUUCCCCAAGAGUCCAUAUCGACGGGAUGGUUUGGCACCUCGAUGUCGGCUCGUCGCAUCCUGGGGCUGGAGUCGGUCCCAAGGGUUGGGCUGUUCGCCCAUUAAAGCGGUACGCGAGCUGGGUUUAGAACGUCGUGAGACAGUUCGGUCCCUAUCCGCUGUGCGCGUAGGAGUCUUGAGAAGGGCUGUCCCUAGUACGAGAGGACCGGGACGGACGAACCUCUGGUGUGCCAGUUGUCCUGCCAAGGGCAUGGCUGGUUGGCUACGUUCGGGAGGGAUAACCGCUGAAAGCAUCUAAGCGGGAAGCCUGCUUCGAGAUGAGGGCUCCCACCCACUUGAUGGGUUAAGGCUCCCAGUAGACGACUGGGUUGAUAGGCCAGAUAUGGAAGACCGGUAACGGUUGGAGUUGACUGGUACUAAUAGGCCGAGGGCUUGUCCUCAGUUG